RNAcentral lists this ribosomal RNA (650 nucleotides) under uncultured Gammaproteobacteria bacterium. RNAcentral describes it as "bacterial SSU rRNA". It matches the Rfam family "Bacterial small subunit ribosomal RNA", at positions 46 to 691 of the family's 1533-position model. Lineage: Bacteria; Pseudomonadati; Pseudomonadota; Gammaproteobacteria. The record is from RNAcentral.
GCCUAACACAUGCAAGUCGAGCGGCAGCGGGUCCUUCGGGAUGCCGGCGAGCGGCGGACGGGUGAGUAAUGCCUAGGAAUCUGCCUGGUAGUGGGGGAUAACGUCCGGAAACGGACGCUAAUACCGCAUACGUCCUACGGGAGAAAGCGGGGGAUCUUCGGACCUCGCGCUACCAGAUGAGCCUAGGUCGGAUUAGCUAGUUGGUGGGGUAAAGGCUCACCAAGGCGACGAUCCGUAACUGGUCUGAGAGGAUGAUCAGUCACACUGGAACUGAGACACGGUCCAGACUCCUACGGGAGGCAGCAGUGGGGAAUAUUGGACAAUGGGCGAAAGCCUGAUCCAGCCAUGCCGCGUGUGUGAAGAAGGUCUUCGGAUUGUAAAGCACUUUAAGUUGGGAGGAAGGGCAGUCAACUAAUACCUGGUUGUUUUGACGUUACCAACAGAAUAAGCACCGGCUAACUUCGUGCCAGCAGCCGCGGUAAUACGAAGGGUGCAAGCGUUAAACGGAAUUACUGGGCGUAAAGCGCGCGUAGGUGGUUCAGCAAGUUGGAGGUGAAAUCCCCGGGCUCAACCUGGGAACUGCCUCCAAAACUACUGGGCUAGAGUACGGUAGAGGGUGGUGGAAUUUCCUGUGUAGCGGUGAAAUGCGU